Molecule: unclassified non-coding RNA, 221 nt
Filed under: uncultured fungus
Lineage: Eukaryota; Fungi
Description: sequence contains ITS1, 5.8S rRNA gene
Rfam family: 5.8S ribosomal RNA (bases 173-221)
Source: RNAcentral
UUUCCGUAGGUGAACCUGCGGAAGGAUCAUUAUCAAAACAGCGGACUUCGGUCCUUGCUGCACCCUUGUUUUUGCGUACCUAUUGUUUCCUCGGCGGGCUUGCUCGCCGGUUGGACAAAACUAUAACCUUUUUUAAAUCUUCAAUCAGCGUCAGAAACAAAACAAUAAUUACAACUUUCAACAACGGAUCUCUUGGUUCUGGCAUCGAUGAAGAACGCAGC